Nelumbo nucifera (sacred lotus) is the source of this 5292-nucleotide non-coding RNA. NCBI's taxonomy places the organism in Eukaryota, Viridiplantae, Streptophyta, Magnoliopsida, Proteales, Nelumbonaceae. The record is from RefSeq and is a predicted model, not a curated record.
CUUAUAAGGGGAUCGACUUGGCUGUUUUGGGUUGUUAGCUUCGUGUGCAUGACAAGCUUGAAUCCUUUUCUUUCUUGAUAAACACAAGCUUGAAUCUUUACUACCUGUUCGAGGACCAACGGAAAGCUUGGAGCGUUUUUGUGCAACCUAUCGUCGGCCAAAGGUCCUCAGGUACUAUUAGAACAUGGAAUGCAUCCAGACUCAUAUUUGGCAAAACAGUUUCAGUAACAGUAUCAAGUAUUAAUUGCAGCAUGGAUAAAGUACAGGCUUGUGUUGAUUAAUCUUUGGUGACGGCUUUCUUGGACAGUUCUGAUUUUUGUGUAACAAGAGAUGUCAACCAUGGCCAGGGAGCAAGAAAUAGAAGAGGUACUGAAUCAUUUAAAAGAUGUGAAUGUUAAGACUAUCACACUUUGGGGGAAGGAAGGAGUGGGGAAGACAUGGACUGCCAGGUCUGUAAUGCAUCGUGCCAUUAAGGAGAAUCUGUUUGACAAUGACAGUAUCAUUUGGAUUACUGUUGGUAGAGGUUGUGGUGGGUUAAGAUUGAUAUGGAAGAUUGCCCAGGAGUUGUCAUUCGUGACUGACUCUGCAGACUAUGACAAUGAUGAAGAAGAGAGUAUGGAAAGUAUGGUGGAAAGGAUCUCUGCAUCUCUGAUGGGGAAGAGAUUCUUUCUGAUUUUGGAUGAUAUAGAUUGGUCUUCUCAAAAUUUCUUUGAUGAACUGGGGAUUCCAUACCCAGAUGGGCAAAAUGGAUCUAAGAUUUUGAUCACUAGAUCUGAUAUUUCUGUUGAUAUAAUAGAUAGACAAAAUGACUCCAAUACUUCUGGUCUUAAAACAGCCAUCGAUGGGGAUGUAUCUCUUCACUUAAAUUCUUUAUCUGAGGAAGAUGCAUUAAAAUUGUUUCAUGAAAAGAAAUGCAUCAAGGUUUCUCAACACAUUAAUAUACUUGUGCAACAUGUUGUUGAGAAAUGUGAGCAUUUGCCACUGGUGAUUGUUGUGAUAGCAGGAGCACUGAAAGACAUCAAUGACUCAUCAGCACUGAAGGAUGCAUUGGAUAUUGCAGUCAAUUCAGGAAACAGCAAUUCAUACUUGCAGUUGCUUCAAUUUGGUUACAACAUGUUGCCAAGUGAUUCUAUAAGGAAUUGCUUUUUGUAUUUUGCCACUCUUACUUCGGAAGUCUGUGAUAUUCAUUAUAAUGAGUUGGUAACUUAUUGGAUAAUGGAAGGAUUAAUUGAUGAGUUUGGUCAGAUUGAGGAAACUUAUGAAAAAGGUCAUGCUGUACUCAGGGAGCUUAUAGAUCGUGGUAUGAUUCAACAAAGGGAUGACCAUGUUAGCAUGCAUUAUCUUAUAAGAAAAAUGGCCUUACACAUAAUAGACAAAUAUCACUGUAAAAUUUUUGCUAAAGCUGGUUUUGGUUUAACUGAGCCUCUGAAAAAUGGCAUUUGGAGAAGUUUUAAGAAAAUCACAUUAAUGGAUUAUGUGAUUAAUGCAUACAACAGUCGGUCAAAAAUCUACAACCCUUGUGCAUUGCUUCUUGAAGGAGAUAGAAAUGGCCUGUUGAGGGAAAUCCCCAAGGCAUUCUUUCUGCACAUGCAAAGGCUUCAAUUUUUGGCCCUUCUCCAGGUGAAGACUAAAUUGCUUCCUUCAUCCCUUUCUGGCUUGGAGCAACUUCAUGUGCUUCUACUAAGGAAAUGUGAUUCUCUUAAGGAUGUAAGCACUAUCCAAGGACUUAGAAAAUUAGUGGUGCUUGACUUUUCAGGUUGCAAGGCCUUGAAGGAAAUUCCAGAUGGAUUCUUUGACGAUAUGCAUUAUCUUCAAGUCCUUGAUCUUUCAGAAACCUCUCUCAAACAGCUCCCACCAUCGCUUUCUAACCUCACUGGCCUCCGUCAGCUCUUUCUAAAAGGUUGUUUGUACUUGGAAAAGCUUCCCAGUCUUGAAGCUCUUAGGAAACUCAAGGUCUUUGAUCUUUCAGAUGCUGCAAGUAUAAAAGAAGUUGGCAAUGAUAACUCUUUUAAUUAUAUGAGUCACCUUCAAGUUCUCAACCUGUCUGGAACUGCAAUUGAAUUCUUACCAGAACUUUGCAAUCUCAAGAACCUCUACCAGCUUUUGCUUGCAAAUUGUUCAAGGCUAAGACAAUUUCCACAGAUCAAGGCACUUGAGAAGCUUGAGGUGCUUGAUGUUUCAGAUGCUAGCACUUUGAGUGAAGUUCCAACCCUUGAUUGUUUGCCUAACCUUAAAGUUCUCAACUUCUCUGGAACUUCAAUUCAACAGUUACCAUUUUUUCACAAUGAUAGUAUGCUCCAUCAGCUCUUAUUAAGGGGUUGUACAUGCUUAAAAUCAUUGCAACAUCCAAGAGUACUUGUAAAACUGGAGUUGCUUGAUCUUACAGAUACCAAAAUUUCGAAUGGGAUUCAAGAUGAGUCAUUUUGGUUUAUGCCCAACCUACAAAUACUCUACCUGUCCAAAAGCUUUGUUAAAGAGUUGCCAUCCUUUCUUAACCUCAUGAACCUCCGUCAGCUUUUUUUAACAAAGUGCUCAAGCUUAACAACCAUUCCACCUUCAGAAAAACUUACAAGACUAGAAGUUCUUGAUCUUUCAGGUGCUAAAGCUUUGAGGAUAAUUGAUGAAAAGUACUUUGACCAUAUGAUUUCCCUUCAAAUACUCAAACUCUCUGGAAGUCAAAUUGGAAAAUUACCAUCACUUUCUAUGCUCAGGAACCUCACUGAGUUAUUAUUAAGUGGUUGUCCACUCAGAAACUUACCAGAUCUAAAAGAACUUACCAAACUUGAGAAGCUUGAUCUUUCUCAUAAUAGUGCUUUGACGGAAUUACAAAAGCAAUCCUUUCAGCAUUUGCAUCAACUUCGCAUACUCAACCUGUCAUAUACGUUACUUGAAAGUGUACCAGAUCUAAAAGCACUUACCAAACUUGAGCAGCUUGAUCUUUCUCAUAAUAGUGCUUUGAUGGAAUUACAAGAGGAAUCCUUUCAGAAUUUGCAUCAACUUCGAAUACUCAACCUAUCUUAUACAUUACUUGAAAGCUUACCAUCCAUAUCUGAACUCACCAAUCUCCAGAAGUUACUGCUGAAAUGUUGUUCCAGAUUAGUAGGGCUGCCUUCAUUGAGAAAACUUAGCAAACUGGAGGUUCUUGAUCUUUCAGGGACUAAAAUUGUAAAAUUUCCUUAUGAAACCUCAGAAUUGACUUGUUUGAAGCAGCUUGAUCUACUGUGCCUGGAGGAGCUUGGAGAUGUUGACUGGGGAGAAAUAACGUGGUUACCUGAAGUUGUAAACUGGGACUACAACAUUUCCAACACACCAACUGGAUGGCCUGACAUUUUGGUAAGUAAUAUUAGCUCUAUAAAAUUUUUAGAAGAAUGGUUUCAAUACUUCCCACAAUUCCAUUUUUCAAUUUGUGGUACCAAGGAAUGGGAUAGAGAUAAAGAUCUUUCAUUCCGAAGAACGAAGUUUUGUUUCCGAGAACUUUACUUCAGGAAUAGACACUUUCCUGAUAAAUCGGAGAAUUGCCAAUUAUUGGAGGUUCCUUAUCCUCGAUCUUUGGAGCUCAUUGAUGUUCAUUACUUUCCCAGUGGCAUUGAGAUGAUACUUAUUCACACAGAACUCCUCUCACUAAAGAACUGCAGUUUCAUUACACGAUUACUAGAUUUGGGUGCUCAAAGAACCAGGUUACUGAAAGAAUGUUGGAUAGAGAAAUGCCAUAGGAUGGACUGCAUUGAUGGAGGACAAGAGGCUGUAGAAGAAGAUGUGGAUUUAAGCAGCUUAGAGAAACUAUGGGUCUCUAAUGUUGCAAAUCUAAGGCAUAUAUGUGAAGGAAACAUAUGCCCAGGGAACUUCUCAUGCUUGAGAUGUUUACAUUUGGAAUGUUGUCCACGUCUUGUCAAUGUCUUCUCAUCAACAUUGGGGCUAGAAAACCUUGAAAUACUUGUAAUUAAAUUUUGUGAUAAGAUAGAAAAUAUAUUUGGACAGAUACUAUUUGGUAGAGGACUUCCAAAGUUACAGAGACUAUUCCUCUGGGAACUACCUCUGUUGAAAACUAUAUAUGAUGGCUUCUUGCCGUCUCUGCACGAUCUUAAAGUGAGAGAAUGUCCAGAGCUAAAGGAACUUCCACUUGUUGUAACUGAGAUAAGAACUCCAGUUGAGAUCAGAGGAGAACUCUCAUGGUGGAACAACUUGAUAUGGAGAGAUGAGAGAAUUAAGUCCCAUAUCUGCUAUAUUAAAUGGGGCAAUUUCUGAAUUUUGAAUGUUAUACACAGAAAAAAGGGAGUGAUUCAGUUACUCUGAGAGCCUAACUGCAGUUUUUUUGCAGUUAGGCUUUUGAGUAAUAUAAAUGAGUAAACAACACAGAAACAAAAUCCUGGAGUUCCUCUAAAAACAUUUACCUCGUGCAUUUAACUGCAGAAGCUAGAGGCUUGAUGAAGAUAUUAGUGAUCUUCAGUCUUGAUGAACUUCAAUUCAAUCUCUCAUUUCUCAGUUGACUCUCUAAUGAAAUGGUGUCUUAGCUCAAUGUGCUUUGUUCUUCCAUUAAAAACUGGAUUUUUAGUCAUUCCAAUUGAGGGGACCAGGAUGUAGAGGAGCUGAAUAUCAAGGGAUUGGGAGUAGGACAAACUACUACAUUGGUAAAGGGGAGGGUCCCAACAUCAGCAGUGUCCACGACUAGGACCAAAGUUAAUGAUGACAUUGCUAAAGAAGUUGACACAAAGGACACUACUUCGUUGUCUUUGAUAUUGAGGGGAGUAAUUUUACAACACCAAUAGGGUCUACGGUUGUAGAAUGAACAAUUACUGAUGGGGAAGGAGUUGCCCCUAUUGUAGAAUCUGUAAAUAUUGAACCCUCCUCUGAUGUAAGUAUGGAGGGUGUAGAAAUCAUAGGAGUAGAGGAUUCUUCCAUGAUUGAGGUUGUCAUUGUACAUAAUGAGGGUGUUGAGACUGUUCUCCGAGGAUAGUGUGGAGGAUGUGAAUGUUGUUUAGACAAGAAAUAAUGAUUGCGAAGAUAAUGCUGCAGUUGUACAUAAUGAGGGGGAAGCCAUCAAUAAGGCAUGUGAGUAAACUGGUGGGAGUGUAGGUAAGGAGGCAAAAAUUGCUAGUUAGGGCCACCACGGAGGUAAUGCUUACUUCAUAUAGAUGUGUGUUUAUGACUUGUAUUGUUUUGGUGAUUUAUUGUCUUAUGGUAAUUAUGCUUGUGUGCAGAGUAUUGGUGGAGACGAUGUACCUAUAGACUUCACAUGCAUCAUUGGUCAUGAUAUCAUUAUGCUGUACUUGGGCAACAACCAUGAUCGUUGUG